GGUCCGUUAGUCAAGGGGUUAAGACACCGCCUUUUCACGGCGGUAACACGGGUUCGAAUCCCGUACGGACUA
Molecule: transfer RNA, 72 nt
Filed under: Streptococcus suis
Lineage: Bacteria; Bacillati; Bacillota; Bacilli; Lactobacillales; Streptococcaceae
Also listed under: 2 other names
Description: tRNA-Glu
Rfam family: tRNA
About the family: Transfer RNA (tRNA) molecules are approximately 80 nucleotides in length. Their secondary structure includes four short double-helical elements and three loops (D, anti-codon, and T loops).
Source: RNAcentral